RNAcentral lists this ribosomal RNA (425 nucleotides) under uncultured bacterium. Its description in RNAcentral is "partial 16S ribosomal RNA". It matches the Rfam family "Bacterial small subunit ribosomal RNA", at positions 354 to 796 of the family's 1533-position model. The record is from RNAcentral.
GUGGGGAAUAUUGGACAAUGGGCGAAAGCCUGAUCCAGCAAUGCCGCGUGAGUGAUGAAGGCCCUAGGGUUGUAAAGCUCUUUUACCCGGGAUGAUAAUGACAGUACCGGGAGAAUAAGCUCCGGCUAACUUCGUGCCAGCAGCCGCGGUAAUACGAGGGGAGCUAGCGUUGUUCGGAAUUACUGGGCGUAAAGCGCGCGUAGGCGGUUUUUUAAGUCAGAGGUGAAAGCCCGAGGCUCAACCCCGGAAUAGCCUUUGAAACUGGAAAACUAGAAUCUUGGAGAGGUCAGUGGAAUUCCGAGUGUAGAGGUGAAAUUCGUAGAUAGUCGGAAGAACACCAGUGGCGAAGGCGACUGACUGGACAAGUAUUGACGCUGAGGUGCGAAAGCGUGGGGAGCAAACAGGAUUAGAUACCCCAGUAGUCC